AAGCAAUCACGUUUUCUUGAGUUCUUUAUUCAAGUUCUGCAAAAAAUCCUGAAUGAAGAGAAAUUUCACAGUGUUCUGGAAUGGGCAGAAAAUGUGCAAACUUACUUGAAAAGGAGGAACAACCACAUUCUCUGUAUCAGUGAAACUCCAAGACAUAAAACGAGCUCUCCCAGUGAGCCUGAGGGCACCAAGAAAUACACUAGAGGAAUUAAGGAGAAAAGUACAGAGACCUCACCUUUAAAGAAGCAGGAAGCAUCAGCUUUGAAGAAACAAAGAAAAGAAACCCCGAGUCCUACUAGAAAAAGGCAGACUCUUAGACAGUAUUUUGUGAAACAUCCAAACAUAAUGAAAU
RNAcentral lists this long non-coding RNA (352 nucleotides) under Chrysolophus pictus (golden pheasant). Its description in RNAcentral is "lncRNA (ENSCPIG00010012150.1)". The record is from RNAcentral. Lineage: Eukaryota; Metazoa; Chordata; Aves; Galliformes; Phasianidae.